UGCUGGAGGUAUCAGAAGUGCGAAUGCUGACAUAAGUAACGAUAAAGCGGGUGAAAAGCCCGCUCGCCGGAAGACCAAGGGUUCCUGUCCAACGUUAAUCGGGGCAGGGUGAGUCGACCCCUAAGGCGAGGCCGAAAGGCGUAGUCGAUGGGAAACGGGUUAAUAUUCCCGUACUUGGUGUUACUGCGAAGGGGGGACGGAGAAGGCUAUGUUGGCCGGGCGACGGUUGUCCCGGUUUAAGCGUGUAGGUGUGUGUUCCAGGUAAAUCCGGUUCACUUUAACACUGAGGCGUGAUGACGAGGCACUACGGUGCUGAAGCAACAAAUGCCCUGCUUCCAGGAAAAGCCUCUAAGCAUCAGGUAACACGAAAUCGUACCCCAAACCGACACAGGUGGUCAGGUAGAGAAUACCAAGGCGCUUGAGAGAACUCGGGUGAAGGAACUAGGCAAAAUGGUGCCGUAACUUCGGGAGAAGGCACGCUGACACGUAGGUGAAGUGAUUUACUCAUGGAGCUGAAGUCAGUCGAAGAUACCAGCUGGCUGCAACUGUUUAUUAAAAACACAGCACUGUGCAAACACGAAAGUGGACGUAUACGGUGUGACGCCUGCCCGGUGCCGGAAGGUUAAUUGAUGGGGUCAGCGCAAGCGAAGCUCCUGAUCGAAGCCCCGGUAAACGGCGGCCGUAACUAUAACGGUCCUAAGGUAGCGAAAUUCCUUGUCGGGUAAGUUCCGACCUGCACGAAUGGCGUAAUGAUGGCCAGGCUGUCUCCACCCGAGACUCAGUGAAAUUGAACUCGCUGUGAAGAUGCAGUGUACCCGCGGCAAGACGGAAAGACCCCGUGAACCUUUACUAUAGCUUGACACUGAACAUUGAGCCUUGAUGUGUAGGAUAGGUGGGAGGCUUUGAAGUGUGGACGCCAGUCUGCAUGGAGCCGACCUUGAAAUACCACCCUUUAAUGUUUGAUGUUCUAACGUGGACCCGUAAUCCGGGUUGCGGACAGUGUCUGGUGGGUAGUUUGACUGGGGCGGUCUCCUCCUAAAGAGUAACGGAGGAGCACGAAGGUUGGCUAAUCCUGGUCGGACAUCAGGAGGUUAGUGCAAUGGCAUAAGCCAGCUUGACUGCGAGCGUGACGGCGCGAGCAGGUGCGAAAGCAGGUCAUAGUGAUCCGGUGGUUCUGAAUGGAAGGGCCAUCGCUCAACGGAUAAAAGGUACUCCGGGGAUAACAGGCUGAUACCGCCCAAGAGUUCAUAUCGACGGCGGUGUUUGGCACCUCGAUGUCGGCUCAUCACAUCCUGGGGCUGAAGUAGGUCCCAAGGGUAUGGCUGUUCGCCAUUUAAAGUGGUACGCGAGCUGGGUUUAGAACGUCGUGAGACAGUUCGGUCCCUAUCUGCCGUGGGCGCUGGAGAACUGAGGGGGGCUGCUCCUAGUACGAGAGGACCGGAGUGGACGCAUCACUGGUGUUCGGGUUGUCAUGCCAAUGGCACUGCCCGGUAGCUAAAUGCGGAAGAGAUAAGUGCUGAAAGCAUCUAAGCACGAAACUUGCCCCGAGAUGAGUUCUCCCUGAGACUU
Molecule: ribosomal RNA, 1569 nt
Filed under: Salmonella enterica subsp. enterica serovar Typhimurium
Lineage: Bacteria; Pseudomonadati; Pseudomonadota; Gammaproteobacteria; Enterobacterales; Enterobacteriaceae
Description: partial 23S ribosomal RNA
Rfam family: Bacterial large subunit ribosomal RNA
Source: RNAcentral